AGUAAUGCUCCUGGUUGUUGUCUAGCUCUCAGCAAGGACCAGGUGCUUGCUGCAGAUUGACAACAAGCUGCUUCUUGGAGAAGGAGUGCUCUGGAAAUCUGCAGAUGAAAGGAAAAAGAAAAUGCCGGCAGAGACGGCGGCAGAGGCAGCGGCAGAAGCGGCAGCGCGAGCGGGAACAGCAACUGCUUCAGCAGCGCCAGCAGCAGCAGCAGCAGCAGCAGCAGCAGCAGCAACAGCAACAGCAGCAACUGCUGCAACUGCAGCUGCAGCAGCAGUGCCAGCAGCAGCAGCAGCAGCAGCAGCAGUGCCAGCAGCAGCAGUGCCAGCAGCAGCAGCAGUGCCAGCAGCAGCAGCAGUUCCAGCAGGAGCAGCAACAACAGCAGCAGCAACAGCAGCAGCAGCAGCAGCAGCAGCAGCAGCAGCAGUGCCAGCAGCAGCAGCAGCAGCAGCAGAGGAGAAGGAGAAAAAACAGGAGGAGCAGGAGGAGCGGGAAGAGCAGGAAGAGCAAGAGGACCAGGAGGACCAGGAACACCAGGAGGAGGAGGAGAAGAAAUAAUGAGUGAUUGUGUCUCCGUUUAUGGAAAGAGUUUGAUGGGCAUCUUUGAAGAAAUGUGUACUCAAAGAAUUACUCAUGUAGAAUCUCACUGUGCUGCCAUCUGGGACAUCAAGUUCAUUUGUGAACCCAUGCUUCCUCUCAGCAUCAUAAGAAGAUCACUACAGAAGCUGAUCACCACACUUAGCUAGUGGUAUUGUAAAAUCUCUUCAUUAAUGACUUUCAUUUUUGCUUGCUUGUGUAUAAAAUUGAAUUGAAAGUUUAUAUUAUCUCAUUUGCUAACAGGUUUGCUUAAAACCCUCUUAGAAAUAACAUUUUUAUUACUUGUCAUGUUUUUUUUUAUUUACAGCAAGAUAUUUAAACACUGAAUAUAUUUUGUAGUAUUUAAUUUUUCAUUAUUUAAAACAAUGUUUAAAUCAAAUAUUCAAUUAUAUUAUGCCAUUCCUCCAAGUUCUUCAUAUUGUCUCCCAUUUUCUACCCAACUUUAAGUUCUUUGUCAAUAAAGAUACAAAAAUCCAAUUGAAAACAAACCCCUCAAAAUCAGGAAAACACAUUCAAAACAAACAAUCAGAAAACCCCAAACAAACAAUAAAGAAAACAACAAAAAUAAAAACAAAAACAAAAAAAACACCAAACAGUAACAAUGUAACAGAACAUUCAUAAACUCAGAAAACUUGAUUUGAAUUAUUUUUGAUCAACUACUGCUGAUCUUGAGGCCCAUCCUAGUUGAUGUACUAGUUUCACUCUUUCUGGAAAACUAAUUUUAUCUUUCUCAGUGGUUAUAUGUGAAAGUACAGUUGUUGACAUUUAUUCUGUUGCCUACACUUUCACUUUUUUAUUAUAUAUAUAAAUAUAUAUAUAUAUAAUAUAUACUUAUUCAUCCAUUCAUUCACUCCCUUUUAAUAUGUAAGAAAAUUAAAUAUAACAAAAUAAAGCAGAAACUAUCUAUAAUAGUAAUAUACUAAUCAAGAAUGACAUGUUUGCAACAAGGUCUACAAGUAGCUUCUGGGAACAUGCCUGCAGUUAGUUCUGAUUGGUAAAUGAAGAUGCCAGCAGCUAAUAGUUGGGGAGGAGAGACAGCUUCAGGAUUUAAGAUUCCCAGGUUUACAACCAUAAGGAAGCAGAAAGACAGAGAGACGCAAUGACUGAGAGGUGUGCUGAAGAGAAAAGCAGAGCCACUAUGUAAAGGAUUCAGGAGAACAUGGCCUGGAGAGCUGCUUAAAGUCAAGGGCAGCCAAAACAGAGUGAAAAAUAUAGUAAAUAGUAACCCAGAAUUAUCUGUGAAAGCAAGAGAAUAACAGCAUAGGGAUUACACAGUUGCUCAGUUACUGUGCUACUUAAAUCAUAUUAAAUAUAAAGGCUGUAUGCUUUUCAUUCAUAAACAUAAACUAUUGAAGCUGAUAGUCAUCAAUAUGAUAUUUAUUUAAAAAUAAAUACUACAACUAUGAAAUUGGCAUUGGGCAAGGAAAAUCAACAGAAGAUGUGAGCCUAAGACAAGGCACAAUAAUACAAGGCUUAAUUUGUAUACUCAGUCAUACGAUAAAAUCCCUUAAUUGGAAGUCAUAGUAUUUGUGAGAAGAGCCUAGUAUAUUACCAAAGACCCUGGAAUGUUCCACUGUAAGUUCUAUAUUGGCACUGAAUUGACGUCUCCACUUUAAUAAAAUUUCUAGGAAUGGUCAUCAACAAUGGGGCUUGCUAUAACUGUAGCAAGGCCCUAUAGGAGAGGACCCUAUAGUUUUGGCUACAAUUUGGGUUUUUUGAAAUUUCUGUUUUUAUUAUGACAGUCCUUUUGGCCCAGGACUCAAUUAAAUGUAAACCAAUUCCAGUGUUGGAACCUUUGUUUGGUGACAAGUGAUGGCCUGUGGAGAUCAAUUAUUUGGUAAUUUCAUUUAGAUCACACACACACACACACACACACACACACACACACACACACACACACACAUUCUAUCUAGUGCCCCCUUAUUUUAAGCUAUUUCUACUGUAUUCCUUUCCACAAUUCACUCUCCUCACCUUAGCUGUUUCUCCCUGUUUUCUCUUCCACAACCUCCUCUCUUCCUCCAUAUCAUACACCAAUUGAUUCCAGCCCAAUUCCCAAUCUGUUCAUUUUGUCUAGUCCCUUACUUAUGUCAGUAUAGGCUUUACAAAACUUGUACAUUAUCUGAUAUUUUUUUUAAAAAAGAACAAAUACUAUUUUACCUAAUGACUGCCUUGAACAGAACAUCUGGGACAAUGUCAGAUGGAGGUGGCAUCAAUGUGUAACAGAUGAUAUUUAUAAUUCCAGAUAUACUGAUGUAUUUAUUAUCUAUCAUCUAUCUAUCUAUCUAUCUAUCUAUCUAUCUAUCUAUCUAUCUAUCUAUCAAUCUAUCUACCUAGCCUCUACCUAAAUAUUAGUUUCCAUAUAUGUUUAGGGAAUUUCAGUUUUGUAACUAUUAUUUGAGUUAUUUUUUUCAAAAUCAAGAAAGUGGCUAGGGAUUUUCAAAGACUUUUAUUUUAUUUUACUGAACAUGAAAUGAUCGUGUAAUUCUUUGUCAUUACCUGUAUUAAUGUAGUACUUAACAUGAGCUCUUUAUAUAUGUUAAGCUAGUCCUACAUAUUUAGGUCACAUUUACAAUAUUAUAGUAUAAAAGCUUCUCUAUCUGUUGUAUGGUUUGUAUUGUAUUUGUUACUAUAUAUCUUCAUUUUGUAUUAUUAUUUGAUGUUUUUCAUGGAAUAUAUUUUAAUUAUUAUCUUUCAACUUUUCCAACUACUCCCGGAUCUUCAUGUCUCCCUACCAAUAAAAUUUCAUCCACACUUGGUUGUGUAAAAGGUAA
This 3366-nucleotide long non-coding RNA is filed under the name Mus musculus (house mouse). Its description in RNAcentral is "predicted gene, 29729 (Gm29729)". The record is from RNAcentral. Lineage: Eukaryota; Metazoa; Chordata; Mammalia; Rodentia; Muridae.